This 254-nucleotide ribosomal RNA is filed under the name uncultured prokaryote. RNAcentral describes it as "partial 16S ribosomal RNA". It matches the Rfam family "Bacterial small subunit ribosomal RNA", at positions 524 to 777 of the family's 1533-position model. The record is from RNAcentral.
UACGGAGGAUCCGAGCGUUAUCCGGAUUUAUUGGGUUUAAAGGGUGCGCAGGCGGGAGAUUAAGUCGGCGGUGAAAAGCUGCCGCUUAACGGUAGUCUUGCCAUUGAUACUGAGAGUCUUGAGUUUGGAUGAGGUAGGCGGAAUGUGCAGUGUAGCGGUGAAAUGCAUAGAGAUUGCACAGAACACCGAUUGCGAAGGCAGCUUACUAAUCCACGACUGACGCUGAGGCACGAAAGCGUGGGGAUCAAACAGGA